Mastomys coucha (southern multimammate mouse) is the source of this 765-nucleotide long non-coding RNA. RefSeq lists it as uncharacterized. The transcript has 2 exons. The record is from RefSeq and is a predicted model, not a curated record. Lineage: Eukaryota; Metazoa; Chordata; Mammalia; Rodentia; Muridae.
UUAAAUUAACAUUAAGUUUCUUUGUGUAAAAAAAAAUUCUUUGUACAUAAUAAUAAAAAAAGAUAAGGCAGGGUGCUCAGCCUGUCAGAAGAAGUGUCAAAGACCAUCAGCAGCCUCUGUCCUUCAGGGCUCAGACAGGGUGUCACCAUGGCAAAGGCUUGGGAUGCUCAGCUCGGAGAAGCAGCGAAGGCUCCUUCCGUGGCAGCCACUCACUGGUGGCUCUUAGAGGAUGUAGAGGAGGAGGUCAGGAGGCCUCUGCCUACUUCCCAGUUCUAAUUUAGAACAUGUCAUUGUGCCUUAAGAAAAGAUGAGCCUACCCACCACAAUGGUCUUCAUGUCCUCAUAUGGCUCGGCAGACCGUCUCAGAAUGUUGUCCAUCCGUCCGAUGGCACUGUACUGGGCUUCCAUAUUGAGGCCCAGCUUCUCCCUGAGCCGUCUGCAGAGAGGUCUGGAUAUCACCGGAGACAACUGAGAAAGCUGUAUGGAACCAAAACAAAAGUUCACUUUUUUUAAAUGUGUGCAUUUGUCUGCAUGUACAUAUAUGUAUGUGCAUUGUAUAUGUGUGGAUGCUGGGAGCUAAAUCUGAGUCGGAUGAAAAAACCCAAUAUGCUCUCAACCUCUGUGGUAUCUCUCUAGCUCCUCCCUUAUUUAAACUACUCACAGGGGAUAAAGAAACUGUUUUCCUAUCGGAUGGAUUCCUCGCCAUGUCAUACUGUUAAUACCUUUGAAGAAAAUUAAAUAUCAGUAGCAGAGGAGGAAUAUCGC